UCCAAGUUAACUCUGUGCCAGGCCUGUAGAAUGGGGCCUGGUCUUCCUGUUUUGGCAUACAUUACUUACCAUUUUCCAGGGCCUCCUCUGGGCUCCUGGUCUUCGAGUCCCAUAACUGUGCUUUACUCUGUGCCAGGCCUGUAGACUGGGGCCUGGUCUUUCUUACUCUAUGCCAGGCCGUAGCAUGGGGUCCUGGUCUUCCUGUCUUGGACUAAUUGGGUCAUCCAACAUUCACCCACAUCAACAACAAUAGAUGCAAUGCGACAUAUUCGUGAAACUAAUGCAAUCAUCCUAUUGCAUAAUCAUGAUGCAUGAAACGUGAUAAGACAUUUUAAUUUAAAAGAUUGAGUUUA
RNAcentral lists this long non-coding RNA (353 nucleotides) under Manihot esculenta (cassava). RNAcentral describes it as "long non-coding RNA (MESC_LNC003879)". The record is from RNAcentral. Lineage: Eukaryota; Viridiplantae; Streptophyta; Magnoliopsida; Malpighiales; Euphorbiaceae.